GACCUGGCUCAGGAUGAACGCUAGCUACAGGCUUAACACAUGCAAGUCGAGGGGCAUCAGGAAGAAAGCUUGCUUUCUUUGCUGGCGACCGGCGCACGGGUGAGUAACACGUAUCCAACCUGCCCUUUACUCGGGGAUAGCCUUUCGAAAGAAAGAUUAAUACCCGAUAGCAUAAUGAUUCCGCAUGGUUUCAUUAUUAAAGGAUUCCGGUAAAGGAUGGGGAUGCGUUCCAUUAGGUUGUUGGUGAGGUAACCGG
This 256-nucleotide ribosomal RNA is filed under the name uncultured bacterium. Its description in RNAcentral is "partial 16S ribosomal RNA". It matches the Rfam family "Bacterial small subunit ribosomal RNA", at positions 16 to 263 of the family's 1533-position model. The record is from RNAcentral.